GUCUAUGGCCAUACCACCUUGAACGUGCCCGAUCUCAUCUGAUCUCGGAAGCUAAGUAGGGUCGGACCUGGUUAGUAUUUGGAUGGGAGAUCACCUAGGAAUAUCAGGUGCUGUAGCAU
This 119-nucleotide ribosomal RNA is filed under the name Pteropus alecto (black flying fox). The record is from RNAcentral. Lineage: Eukaryota; Metazoa; Chordata; Mammalia; Chiroptera; Pteropodidae.